RNAcentral lists this ribosomal RNA (464 nucleotides) under uncultured bacterium. RNAcentral's name for it is "partial 16S ribosomal RNA". It matches the Rfam family "Bacterial small subunit ribosomal RNA", at positions 339 to 795 of the family's 1533-position model. The record is from RNAcentral.
CUACGGGUGGCUCCAGUGGGGAAUAUUGCACAAUGGGCGCAAGCCUGAUGCAGCCAUGCCGCGUGUAUGAAGAAGGCCUUCGGGUUGUAAAGUACUUUCAGCGGGGAGGAAGGGAGUAAAGUUAAUACCUUUGCUCAUUGACGUUACCCGCAGAAGAAGCACCGGCUAACUCCGUGCCAGCGGCCGCGGUAAUACGGAGGGUGCAAGCGUUAAUCGGAAUUACUGGGCGUAAAGCGCACGCAGGCGGUUUGUUAAGUCAGAUGUGAAAUCCCCGGGCUCAACCUGGGAACUGCAUCUGAUACGGGCAAGCUUGAGUCUCGUAGAGGGGGGUAGAAUUCCAGGUGUAGCGGUGAAAUGCGUAGAGAUCUGGAGGAAUACCGGUGGCGAAGGCGGCCCCCUGGACGAAGACUGACGCUCAGGUGCGAAAGCGUGGGGAGCAAACAGGAUUAGAUACCCGUGUAGUC